GAUGAACGCUGGCGGCGUGCCUAAUACAUGCAAGUCGAGCGAACAGACGAGGAGCUUGCUCCUCUGACGUUAGCGGCGGACGGGUGAGUAACACGUGGAUAACCUACCUAUAAGACUGGGAUAACUUCGGGAAACCGGAGCUAAUACCGGAUAAUAUAUUGAACCGCAUGGUUCAAUAGUGAAAGACGGUUUUGCUGUCACUUAUAGAUGGAUCCGCGCCGCAUUAGAUAGUUGGUAAGGUAACGGCUUACCAAGGCGACGAUGCGUAGCCGACCUGAGAGGGUGAUCGGCCACACUGGAACUGAGACACGGGCCAGACUCCUACGGGAGGCAGCAGUAGGGAAUCUUGCGCAAUGGGCGAAAGCCUGACGGAGCAACGCCGCGUGAGUGAUGAAGGUCUUCGGAUCGUAAAACUCUGUUAUUAGGGAAGAACAAAUGUGUAAGUAACUAUGCACGUCUUGACGGUACCUAAUCAGAAAGCCACGGCUAACUACGUG
Molecule: ribosomal RNA, 497 nt
Filed under: uncultured bacterium
Lineage: Bacteria
Description: partial 16S ribosomal RNA
Rfam family: Bacterial small subunit ribosomal RNA
Source: RNAcentral